CCUACGGGAGGCAGCAGUGGGGAAUAUUGCACAAUGGGCGCAAGCCUGAUGCAGCAACGCCGCGUGAGGGACGACGGCCUUCGGGUUGUAAACCUCUUUUAGUAGGGAAGAAGCGAAAGUGACGGUACCUGCAGAAAAAGCACCGGCUAACUACGUGCCAGCAGCCGCGGUAAUACGUAGGGUGCAAGCGUUGUCCGGAAUUAUUGGGCGUAAAGAGCUCGUAGGCGGUUUGUCGCGUCUGCUGUGAAAACCCCGAGGCUCAACCUCGGGCCUGCAGUGGGUACGGGCAGACUAGAGUGCGGUAGGGGAGAUUGGAAUUCCUGGUGUAGCGGUGGAAUGCGCAGAUAUCAGGAGGAACACCGAUGGCGAAGGCAGAUCUCUGGGCCGUAACUGACGCUGAGGAGCGAAAGCAUGGGGAGCGAACAGGAUUAGAUACCCUGGUAGUCCAUGCCGUAAACGUUGGGAACUAGAUGUAGGGACCAUUCCACGGUUUCUGUGUCGCAGCUAACGCAUUAAGUUCCCCGCUGGGGAUCGGCCGCAAGGCUAAAACGUCAAAUGAAUUGACGGCUGAGAGNGCGACGACGACGACGAGGGAGUAGG
Molecule: ribosomal RNA, 600 nt
Filed under: uncultured bacterium
Lineage: Bacteria
Description: bacterial SSU rRNA
Rfam family: Bacterial small subunit ribosomal RNA
Source: RNAcentral